UCAUACGUGCGCCUUGAAUUU
RNAcentral lists this non-coding RNA (21 nucleotides) under Caenorhabditis elegans. The record is from RNAcentral. Lineage: Eukaryota; Metazoa; Nematoda; Chromadorea; Rhabditida; Rhabditidae.